CGUGGGAACGUACCUUGGAGUGCGGAAUAAUUCUUGGAAACGAGGACUAAUACCGCAUACGCCCUUCGGGGGAAAGAUUGAUCGCUCCAAGAUCGGCCCGCGUCCGAUUAGCUAGUUGGUGAGGUAACGGCCCACCAAGGCGACGAUCGGUAGCUGGUCUGAGAGGAUGAUCAGCCACACUGGGACUGAGACACGGCCCAGACUCCUACGGGAGGCAGCAGUGGGGAAUAUUGCGCAAUGGGGGAAACCCUGACGCAGCCAUGCCGCGUGAGUGAAGAAGGCCUUCGGGUUGUAAAGCUCUUUCGGGUGUGAAGAAGAUGACGGUAACACCAGAAGAAGCCCCGGCUAACUUCGUGCCAGCAGCCGCGGUAAUACGAAGGGGGCAAGCGUUGUUCGGAAUCACUGGGCGUAAAGAGCGCGUAGGCGGUCAGAUCAGUCAGAGGUGAAAGCCCAGGGCUCAACCUUGGAACUGCCUUUGAUACUGUCUGACUAGAAUCCGUGAGAGGGUGGUGGAAUUCCCAGUGUAGAGGUGAAAUUCGUAGAUAUUGGGAGGAACACCAGUGGCGAAGGCGGCCACCUGGCGCGGUAUUGACGCUGAGGCGCGAAAGCGUGGGGGAGCAAACAGGAUUAGAUACCCUGGUAGUCCACG
Molecule: ribosomal RNA, 649 nt
Filed under: Rhodospirillum sp. JA478
Lineage: Bacteria; Pseudomonadati; Pseudomonadota; Alphaproteobacteria; Rhodospirillales; Rhodospirillaceae
Description: bacterial SSU rRNA
Rfam family: Bacterial small subunit ribosomal RNA
Source: RNAcentral